GGGCCGCUAGCUCAGUUGGUAGAGCAACGCCCUUUUAAGGCGUGGGUCACAGGUCCGAAUCCUGUGCGGCUCA
This is a transfer RNA of Sphaerochaeta pleomorpha str. Grapes, 73 nucleotides long. It matches the Rfam family "tRNA". Rfam says of the family: Transfer RNA (tRNA) molecules are approximately 80 nucleotides in length. Their secondary structure includes four short double-helical elements and three loops (D, anti-codon, and T loops). NCBI's taxonomy places the organism in Bacteria, Pseudomonadati, Spirochaetota, Spirochaetia, Spirochaetales, Sphaerochaetaceae. The record is from Rfam.